ACAAAAACUGUAGCAGAGAAAGACACAGACGUCCGAACUCAACACAAAUUGAAAACAACAGAUCGCUAACUCUAUUUUUUUUCUUUUCAGAAUAUGGACGAACUUGCAGCAGAAACUAUGGUGGACAAAAAAAGUUUGAUCUAGUAGACACCUUUUCUCCAAACUAAUCUAAACCAGCACUAUUUUUUAGGAUGAAUGCGACCAAAAAUUCAACUACACAAAUACUAGAUGCAAAAAUUGCUUAAGGCUAAAAAAGAUAGGUGUAAAGGAUGAACUAAUAUAAUUUUUUGGCUUUUUUUGGGUUAUAGGACAGAAAAAUAAACUAAUCUAAGAAUACGGUAAAUCUUUCAUCAAUGAACCUGAAAACUGAUACCACUUGAUGUGACGGCGGCCCGAUCUUUGGAUGAAAGUGGGGAUAAUUAUCGAUUUGGUGGAUUUUGACCUUGACGAUCCAACUAUACCGUACCCGACGAUACACCUCGAAAUCGCUAAACUAAUCUCUGAUGUCUGAUGGUUAUUGACCUUACGGUAGGCACGAUCAACCUGAACAACGAGGUUCGAGUUCCUGCAAGCAACCGAAGAACCGACAAAAACAAAAGUGAAUUGCAAUCUGAAAUUGCGGAUAAAAAACUGAGCACACGAACUAGAAGAAAAGUUGGUCGUAUCUAUAUAAGCCAUGUCCACGUCACUAUAUUUAUAGCAGCGAAUAGUACAUGGUAGAGAUAUAAGAGUUGGCAGCGAUUACAAAAUAAAUUCUAAAAGAAAUGAGCAAAUCUUUGAGAUCUUCAAACUCUUACUUUUUUCACGACACAAUCUUGUAUUUUUCCAAAGGUUGCCGAGGAAAAUAACAGAGAUAUCAAAGCACAGACCUGCAAAUACUAAUGAGGGUUCUCCCAUAAUUUUAAUUUGAGCCGCAAUCCAAAGGUUGUGAUGCCCGCACACAUCCAUUAAAGUAAUCAACCAACAUCGGUAAGAGUACUAACACCGGUAUUUUAGGGAAAAAGAACCAAACAACCAGGCUAACAUCGAUGGGAGCCGAGAGCACGAAUCACCAUUGCCAAUGAUGUAGCAGUCGAGAUAGAUAUUGCAAGGACAAUCCUCCUCGCGGCGACCAUAAGAAAUAAUUCAAAAUCGAUCUGGCGAAGCAAGAUCUGAAGGACCAAACCUAAACAAAUUUAAUCUUCCGACACCACCAUUGACGUCGGGAAGGAGAUCUCGUCAUCGAAUGAAGGGC
Molecule: long non-coding RNA, 1234 nt
Filed under: Triticum aestivum (bread wheat)
Lineage: Eukaryota; Viridiplantae; Streptophyta; Magnoliopsida; Poales; Poaceae
Description: long non-coding RNA (TAES_LNC024351)
Source: RNAcentral